CCAGAAGAGACCCUAACCGGUCCUCUCAACCCUGCCCAUCGUACCCUUUGUAUUGUUCCCUCGGCGAGGCUUUUCAAGCCCGCCGGCGGGAAGAUCAACGAAACUCUUUGCAAGCAAGCAUCCUGAAACCUCUGAUCGAAUACAAAUUGUCA
This 152-nucleotide unclassified non-coding RNA is filed under the name soil metagenome. Its description in RNAcentral is "partial internal transcribed spacer 1". The record is from RNAcentral.